RNAcentral lists this ribosomal RNA (468 nucleotides) under uncultured bacterium. RNAcentral's name for it is "partial 16S ribosomal RNA". It matches the Rfam family "Bacterial small subunit ribosomal RNA", at positions 28 to 507 of the family's 1533-position model. The record is from RNAcentral.
GACGAACGCUGGCGGCGUGCUUAACACAUGCAAGUCGAACGGAAAGGCCCUGCUUUUGUGGGGUGCUCGAGUGGCGAACGGGUGAGUAACACGUGAGUAACCUGCCCUUGACUUUGGGAUAACUUCAGGAAACUGGGGCUAAUACCGGAUAGGAGCUCCUGCUGCGGGGGGGGGGUUGGAAAGUUUCGGCGGUUGGGGCUGGAUUCGCGGCUUAUCAGCUUGUUGGUGGGGUAGUUGCUUACCAAGGCUUUGACGGGUAGCCGGCCUGAGAGGGGGAACGGCCACAUUGCGCCUGCGGUACGGACCAGACUCCUACGGGAGGCAGCAGUGGGGAAUAUUGCACAAUGGGCGGAAGCCUGAUACAGAGACCCCCCGUGCGGGAUGACGGCCUUCGGGUUGUAAACCGCUUUCGCCUGUGACGAAGCGUGAUUGACGGUAAUGGGUAAAGAAGCACCGGCUAACUACGUG